This 500-nucleotide ribosomal RNA is filed under the name uncultured bacterium. RNAcentral's name for it is "partial 16S ribosomal RNA". It matches the Rfam family "Bacterial small subunit ribosomal RNA", at positions 30 to 523 of the family's 1533-position model. The record is from RNAcentral.
AUUGAACGCUGGCGGAAUGCUUUACACAUGCAAGUUGAACGGCAGCACGGACUUCGGUCUGGUGGCGAGUGGCGAACGGGUGAGUAAUGUAUCGGAACGUGCCCAGUCGUGGGGGAUAACGUAGUGAAAAUUACGCUAAUACCGCAUACGAUCUAUGGAUGAAAGCGGGGGAUCGCAAGACCUCGCGCGAUUGGAGCGGCCGAUAUCAGAUUAGGUAGUUGGUGGGGUAAAGGCCCACCAAGCCAACGAUCUGUAGCUGGUCUGAGAGGACGGCCACCCACGCUGGAACGGAGACACGGUCCAGACUCCUCCGGGAGGCAGCAGUGGGGAAUUUUGGACAAUGGGCGAAAGCCUGAUCCAGCCAUUCCGCGUGCAGGAUGAAGGCCCUCGGGUUGUAAACUGCUUUUGUACAGAACGAAAAGGUUUCUACUAAUACUAGGAGCUCAUGACGGUACUGUAAGAAUAAGCACCGGCUAACUACGUGCCAGCCGCCGCCGUAA